RNAcentral lists this unclassified non-coding RNA (412 nucleotides) under soil metagenome. Its description in RNAcentral is "partial contains 5.8S ribosomal RNA, internal transcribed spacer 2, and large subunit ribosomal RNA". The stretch from base 1 to 120 matches the Rfam family "5.8S ribosomal RNA", at positions 35 to 154 of the family's 154-position model. The record is from RNAcentral.
GAUGAAGAACGCAGCGAAAUGCGAUACGUAGUGUGAAUUGCAGAAUUCCGUGAACCAUCAAAUCUUUGAACGCAUAUUGCGCUCGAGGCUUCGGCCGAGAGCAUGUCUGCCUCAGCGUCGGUAUUACCCCUCGCUUCUCAACCCCUGGUUGAUGCCUGCCUGCCUUUGCAGUUGGCUAGAAGCGGAUCUGGCUUUCCCAAUUGCCUUUGGUAGUUGGGUCAGCUGAAGCACAGAGGCUUGAGCAAGGACCCUUAUUGGGCUUCAACUGGAUAGGUAGAACUGGUCUUAGGACCAACUACACGAAGUUGUUGCUUGCGGUCUUUGUCUGGAGGCCAGCAGGAAACCUUUAUACCUUCGACCUGAGCUCAGGCAAGAUUACCCGCUGAACUUAAGCAUAUCAAUAAGCGGAGGA